Non-coding RNA from Ailuropoda melanoleuca (giant panda), 46 nucleotides. NCBI's taxonomy places the organism in Eukaryota, Metazoa, Chordata, Mammalia, Carnivora, Ursidae. The record is from Rfam.
CCAAAGGCUCUUUUCAGAGCCACCCACCUUUUCUGAGGAAGAACUG